UUAGCCCUUCUAUUUGAGAUUUAUUCACUCAAAGAAUGGCCAUGUGAGGAUUCAUUCAUUCUGAAAAAUGCUAAUACAAGGUCGAUUAAUAUCAACCCCAAACUGGUUGGCUGAUUGCACGAGCUAUCCAUUUUUCUUCAAAUUAUAUCUACUCGAGUGGGAGCUGUGAUCCGGCAUCAGACUUGCCAGGCAGGUGUGAUUGCGCGUGAGCUCAAGCAAGCAAGCAAGCGCGCGGCGUGGCUGCA
RNAcentral lists this long non-coding RNA (245 nucleotides) under Setaria italica (foxtail millet). RNAcentral describes it as "long non-coding RNA (SITA_LNC000774)". Lineage: Eukaryota; Viridiplantae; Streptophyta; Magnoliopsida; Poales; Poaceae. The record is from RNAcentral.